Molecule: small nuclear RNA, 156 nt
Filed under: Serinus canaria (Common canary)
Lineage: Eukaryota; Metazoa; Chordata; Aves; Passeriformes; Fringillidae
Description: U2 spliceosomal RNA (ENSSCAG00000003324.1)
Rfam family: U2 spliceosomal RNA (bases 1-137)
About the family: U2 is a small nuclear RNA (snRNA) component of the spliceosome (involved in pre-mRNA splicing). Complementary binding between U2 snRNA (in an area lying towards the 5' end but 3' to hairpin I) and the branchpoint sequence (BPS) of the intron results the bulging out of an unpaired adenosine, on the BPS, which initiates a nucleophilic attack at the intronic 5' splice site, thus starting the first of two transesterification reactions that mediate splicing.
Source: RNAcentral
AUCGCUUCUCAGCAUUUUGGCCAAGAUCAGGUGUAGUAUCUGUUCUUAGCAGUUUAACAUCUGAUGCAUCCUCAGUGAGAGAACUAAUUUCUUGUCCAGAGGAGGGCAACGAGGCUGGUGAGGGCCUGGGAACACAAGCCCCCAUGAGGAAUGUUU